RNAcentral lists this long non-coding RNA (4888 nucleotides) under Sus scrofa (pig). RNAcentral describes it as "lncRNA (ENSSSCG00030028944.1)". Lineage: Eukaryota; Metazoa; Chordata; Mammalia; Artiodactyla; Suidae. The record is from RNAcentral.
AGGAAUUUGCAGCCUUCCUCUUCCUGGUACGGAAAAUAACAGAAACCAGGGUACAGCUCUGUGUAAAAAGACUAGGCCAGUGGUGAGGGUGCUGCUUCCACUUCCUCCUGGACUCUUAUGAGGACUCAGCUCAUUUUCUGGUAUUAAUGUGCAUGUUGAAAACAAGCUGGGAGAAUCUGUAGCUUCAGGUUGCUGACUAUUUGAACAACCCAGGCAAGAGGUUCAGUCUUUGAAGUCAUUUUCCCUUUGGGAGCUUGACAGCCACCUGCCAGCCACAUUUGCGCCCUUCACCACAUUGUGAUCUCUGAAUGAACUCUUCCUACUGAUGCCUAGCAGCCUCUAUUCCAGAUCAAUUCUGUGGUAGGCAAAAUAGUGGCCUCUCGAAUAUCCACAUCCCCAGAACCUGCGAAAGAGUUAAGUUACAUGGGGAGGGGAAUUCUGGUAGCAAAUGGAAGUAAUGUUGCUAAUUAUUAGUUUAACUUAAAGGAGGGAGAAUGCCUGGGUAUCCAGGUGGGCCCAAUGUCAUCACUGGCAUCCUUAAACAGGGAAGAGGGAUGGAGGAGAGUCAGUACCAGAGUGAUGUGGUGAGAGAAAGACUUGGCUGGCCCUUGCUGGUUUGAAGCUAAAAGGAGGCUGUAAGUUGAACAAUGUGGGCAAUCUCUAGAAACUGGUAAAGGCAUGAGAAUGAAUUUUCUCCUUUAGCCUCCAGGAAAAGAAUGGAGCCCUGUCAUCACCUUGAUUUUUAGCUUAGUGAGACCCAAUGUUGGACUUCUGAAUUCCAGAAAGUUGCAAACUAUUUGUUGAAAAGACUUUGUUUUCCCCAUUAAACUGCACCAGCAUCAUUCAACCAUGUAAGUAUUACUGCAUGUUCUGUUUGCUUCCAUUGAUCUAUGUGUCUGUAUUCCAAUACCAGAGUGGCUGUUGUUGUCACUUAAUAGUAAUUCUUCAAAUAGUCUAAUGUCUCCAAAUCUCUUUCCUUUUUUGAGAAUUGCUUUGUCUGUCCUAGGUCUUUUUUUAUACAUUUUAUAGUCAGAUUGUCAAUGUCUAUAAUAUGAUUUUUUUAUUGGAUUGGCUUCAAUCUAUAGAUUUAGAGAGAAUGGGAUUCUUUAAAAUGUUGAGUUUUCAAUUCAUGAACAUAGCAUGUUUAUUUAGGUUGUCUUUAGAUUUUUUCUUAACAAAUGUUUGUAAUUUUUAGUAUAGAAGACUAAAAUAUGCCUUUAAGUAUUUUUUUUUUGAUGCUACUAAAUUGUACAGUUUAUUUUCCAAUUAUUUGUUACCAUUGAAAUCCAGCUGAUUUCUGUAUGCUGAUCUUCCUAAGUAUUUUUCUAAGUAUUUUUUUUUGAUGCUACUAAAUUGUAUGGUUUAUUUUCCAAUUAUUUGUUACCAUUGAAAUCCAGUUGGUUUCUGUAUGCUGAUCUUGAUUCUAGGAUUUUUCUUAUUCAUUAGUCAUUGUAUCUUUUUAGGUUUCAUACGAUUUUCUACAUACAUAAUCAUGCAACCAUGUCUUCUAUGCAUAAAGACAAAUUUAUUAUUUCUGUUCCAGUCUUUACACCAUUUAUUUUUCCUUACAUAUUGCAUUUGAUAGAAGCUUUAAUACAGUGUUGGACAGAGGGUAAUAGUGAAUACACUCACCUUGUUUUUGAUGUUAGGGAAAAAGUGCUGUGUGUAUCAAUUUUAACUAUCAUGUUAAAGGACAGUUUUUCACAGAUGUCAUUUAUAAUUGAAGUGUUUUUCUAUGCUUUAAGAAUUUGUCAUGAAUGAGUGUUAAAUGUCAUCAAAUGCUUUUUCCUGCUUUAAUUAAAGUAAUUAUGAUUUUUAUUCUGUGAAAAGUGAUUUUAAAAAAUCUUGUCACAACCUUAUAAUCCUGGGAUAAACUCCAUUUGAUUCAUUCUUUUUAUGUUGUGCUAGAUUCCAUUUGCUAAUAUUUGGUUGAGGAUUUUUAUAAGUAGGUUCACAAGAAAUAUUGGUCUGUAAUUUUAUUUUAAUGUCCUUGUUUAUGCUCGUUUUAUGGUUAUGCUGGCCUCAUGAAUAGACCUAGAAAAUAUUGCCACACCGUAUUUUCCCAAAAUAAUUCAUGUAAAAUAUUAAUCAUCAUUAAUAUAGAAUUUACCAGUGAAGCUAUCUGGACCUGAUGUGUUCUUUGUGGGAAAAUAUUUACCUAUGAAUUAUGUUUCUUUAAUGAACAGGGAAGCAUUCAUGGUUUCUAUUAUCAGUUUUAGAAAGCUUUUUUUUUCCCCUGGUUUUUUUUUUUGUCCAUUUCAUUUAACUUGUUGAAUUUAUUACUGCAAAGUUGUACAUAAUAUUCCUUUAUAGUUGAGAAUGAUGUGCUUACAUGCUGUUUCUUAAUCGAUUUAGAAUUUAUUGAAAUUCUUGAAUCUUUGUGGUACUUUUUUCCAUCUAGAUUUGGGGAAUUUUCAGUUUUUGUUUACUUAAUGUUUUUGUCUGAUGCAUUCUUGACAUGAUUUUUUCCCCUGAUACUCUGCACUUAGAUUUGAUGCACAAUAUAAGUCAAUGAGAUUUUGUUGAUAUCUUUCAUAAACAUUUUUCUCUCCCUUCCUCAGCUUGGAUAAUGUUAUUGACCCUUUCUUAUGUAGUGCCUAAUCAAUUGUCAGUCUAUCCAGGGUUCUUUCACUUAAUACCAGAUAUUUUAUUUUUAGUUCUAGAAUGUCUAUUUAUUUUACAGUUUCUAUUUCCUUGCUGAAAUUUGUCCAUCUUUACUUUUAAAUUCCUCAAUGUGUUUUUAACAAAUGUUUUAAAACCCUAUCUGCUGUCUCUUAUAUCUGUUUUUUUUUUGGGGGGGGGAAUCUUUUUCCACUGAAUGAUUUUUUUUUCCUCUUGCCUAUAGGAAAUGUUUUCUUACUUUUUCUAAUAACUUUAUUUUAUAUGUUAAACUUUAUGGAGUGUUUCAUGUGUGUUGUCUUUAUUUUAGUCCUGUUUUGUUUUAUCUGACAGUUAAUUGGUAGCUUAUUUUGAGCAUUUCAGAUUUGGUUUCGUGUUUUGUAGGGUGGGUUGGUUUCAGGACUUUUUCUUUAUUUUCCAGUUAGAUCUAGGGUCUUUCCUCUAGGUCAUGGUCUUUCCAGGAUCUUAACUGGAUGCCUAAAUUGCUCAAUGAGGUCUCUCUACUCUAGCUGACCCAAAUUCUGACUUCUGUUUGUCCUAUGAAAACUCUAGUAUCUCUGUACUGCCUUUGAAUCCCUCCAAGUUGCUCUCUGCUAGGCUCGUGGAUUCACUGUCCUGUUCACGAGCACCUUAGCCUUCAGCCAAGGACACAAGGUGAACCUUUAUGCAGGCUUCCAGGAUGCCCUCCCUAUGCAGCUUCUUGACUUUCCAUACUCUGUUUCCCCUCCAGUUCUAGCUGCCUCAGCAACCUCACACCCUAACCUCUACCUACUUCCCUCAGAUUUCUGCUCUCUACUGGACUCUCCUCCCUACUGCAAAAUUGUAGGAAGUGUCUCAUGUAGAGAUUUGUGGAUAAUAAAUUUAUCUCAUUAGUUUUUCUUUUCUCGAGAAUGAUAAGACUGCUCUGUUUGCAAUGACUGAAAGUCAUUCUCAUAUUUUGUCCAGUGUUUAUAGGUAUUUACAUAGGAGGGUAAGUUCAAAACAAUUUACUUACAGUUCCUGGAAGCCAACAUUCUCUAGCACACUUUUUGAGUACCUAAUGUGUGUAAAACCAUAUGCUCAUUAUGGGACAGAAAGAAAUAAAAAACAAGUUCUCUUCCAUCUGAGAGAGAUAAAAAGGUUGCAUGUAUAACUAAAGUAUGAGACCAGUGACUUUAUUUCAGUUCCUAGAAUGCACCAAGACAUUUCCCACCUAAGACCUCGCAAGUGUAAGUCGCUCUGUCUUAAAUAUAUCCUUCAACUCCUGGCCUGAAUAACUUUUAUUCACCCAUCAGAACUCAGCUAAAAUAUCACUUACUUGGGAAGUCUUCUCUGAACUCCCCCUCUAUAUUAUUCUCUAUAGCAUUAUUCUUUAUCAUGGCAUCCUGUCGUUUUCCAACACAACUCUUACCACAAUUUCUCCUUAAACAUGUCUGUGAGUAUUUAACUAUAUAUUUCUAAGUGUAAGACUAAGUACUUUUUAUACACUGCUACAUCUUUAUUCUUAACAGUACUGAAAAAAAGUAGUGUAAGAUAUUUCUUGAAUGAAAAAUUAAGGAAUGAUGAGUGUCACAGUCAGCACAGAAAAUAUUUAUAUGCUAUAUGACAUUCAUUUCCUAUUGGAUUGAUCAGAGAAGAUCUUAAGAAGAGGUGGAAUUUUAAGAGUCAGAGAUGGGAAAAGGGGCUUUCUAGAGAAUAAAUUGGCAUAAGCUUAGAAUGUGCAAGUCAUAUUUCAGAAGGGAGUGACUAGACCCAUUUUUUUCCCGGGGAUUCAUUAGGAUAGACUGAUUAGAAAGGCAAAAAGAAAUCAGACUUGGAAGGCAAAUCGAGUUUAGAGUCCUUAUCUCACCAGCUUUAUAAUAAUAAUCAGUUUGUAAAACAUAAACCUCUAAAUAUUACCAAGGGUAUAUAAUAUUUCUUUUAAAGAUAAAUUACAUCUUUAAAAAGCUACAUAUUACAUCUUUGAAAAGCUGCAUAUUACAUAGGAGUUCCUUCCCAUCAAUAACUUCCUAAGAAGACACUGGCUGAAAAGAAAACGAUUCUGGGAGUUCCUAUCAUGGCUCAGUGGUAACAAAUCUGACUAGUAUUCAUGAGGAUGUGGGUUCAAUCCCUGGCCUCACUCAGUGGGUUAAGGACCCGGCAUUGCUCUGAGCUGUGGUGUAGAUUGUAGAUGUGGCUCAGAUCCCACAUUGCUGUGGCUGUGGUGUAGGCCGGCAGCUACAGCUUAUGUUCUACUGCUAGCCUGGGAAUUUCCAUAUGCCAUGGGUGUGGCCCUAAAGGAAAAAAAAAA